GACGACCGCUGGCGGCGUGCUUAACACAUGCAAGUCGAACGAAGUGGCGAACGGGUGAGUAACGCGUAAUCAACCUGCCCUUCAGAGGGGGACAACAGUUGGAAACGACUGCUAAUACCGCAUACUGAAGGAGGGGACUGCGUCUGAUUAGCUAGUGGGAGGGGGAACGGCCCACCAAGGCGAAGCUCAGUAGCCGGUCUGGGAGGAUGAACCGCCACAUUGGGACUGAGGAACGGCCCAGACUUCUACGGGAGGCAGCAGUGGGGAAACUUCCGCAAUUGGCGGAAGUCUGACGGGGCAACGCCGCGUGAGUGAUGACAGCCUUCGGGUUGGAAAGCUCUGUUAAUCGGGACGCGGUACCGAAAUAGAAAGCCACGGCUAACUACGUGCCAGCAGCCGCGGUAAUAC
RNAcentral lists this ribosomal RNA (408 nucleotides) under uncultured bacterium. Its description in RNAcentral is "partial 16S ribosomal RNA". It matches the Rfam family "Bacterial small subunit ribosomal RNA", at positions 28 to 526 of the family's 1533-position model. The record is from RNAcentral.